Long non-coding RNA from Telopea speciosissima, 149 nucleotides. RefSeq lists it as uncharacterized. NCBI's taxonomy places the organism in Eukaryota, Viridiplantae, Streptophyta, Magnoliopsida, Proteales, Proteaceae. The record is from RefSeq and is a predicted model, not a curated record. The transcript has 3 exons.
AUUCUACUACAGGGGAUGUGACACAUCCAGACACAAACUGAAACUAUUCUCGUUCAACAUGAACAAAGGAACGGGGUUUUUUGAAGUAUUUAGAAAUGAAGGAUUCAGCAACAGCAGGGUACUUACCCUUGAUGAAAUUCUCAAUACAU